Xiphophorus hellerii (green swordtail) is the source of this 234-nucleotide long non-coding RNA. RefSeq lists it as uncharacterized. NCBI's taxonomy places the organism in Eukaryota, Metazoa, Chordata, Actinopteri, Cyprinodontiformes, Poeciliidae. The record is from RefSeq and is a predicted model, not a curated record. The transcript has 2 exons.
UCUCUCUCUCUCUCUGUCAGUCAUUGUCCUCAGUCGUCUCUCACCCCUCCUCCCCGAUGCAGAAAUCCAUAGCGUUGUAAAUGAAGCUGUGAGGAUCGAUGCUGCAGGCAGGCAGUGCUCUAGAUUAAAGAAAACCCUCAACUCUGCAGUAAACAGGACACAAAGUUUCAUGCAGAAACACACAUGGACAAGCUUGGGCAACCCUUAAUAAAUAAAUGAAUGAAAUAAAUGAAG